Molecule: ribosomal RNA, 219 nt
Filed under: uncultured bacterium
Lineage: Bacteria
Description: partial 16S ribosomal RNA
Rfam family: Bacterial small subunit ribosomal RNA
Source: RNAcentral
UACAGAGACGUGCAAGCGUUAUUUCGGAUUCACUGGGCGUAAAGGGGCGCGUAGGCGGCGUGACAAGUCACUUGUGAAAUCUCCGGGCUUAACUCGGAACGGUCAAGUGAUACUGUCGUGCUAGAGUACAGAAGGGGCAACUGGAAUUCUCGGUGUAGCGGUGAAAUUCGUAGAUAUUGGGAAGAACACCGGUGGCGAAGGCGGCGACCUGGGUCCUUG